This 256-nucleotide unclassified non-coding RNA is filed under the name Hevea brasiliensis (rubber tree). The record is from RNAcentral. Lineage: Eukaryota; Viridiplantae; Streptophyta; Magnoliopsida; Malpighiales; Euphorbiaceae.
GCAAAGGUACCACUACAAUGUUGCGGAUGUUAGGCUUGAACAGCAUAUAGAGAAAGGAAAUGAGGACGGUUUACUUAUUAGCUGUGUCGCAUCUUGUUCAAAUCUGUGGGCCUUGAUUAUGGAUGCAGGCACUGGUUUUACGGCCCAAGUUUAUCAACUCUCACAGACUUUUCUCCAUAAAGAAUGGAUAAUGGAGCAAUGGGAAAAGAACUACUAUAUUAGUGCAUUAGCAGGAUCAAACAGUGGCGGCUCCUUG